This 306-nucleotide ribosomal RNA is filed under the name Clostridioides difficile. RNAcentral describes it as "bacterial LSU rRNA". It matches the Rfam family "Bacterial large subunit ribosomal RNA", at positions 1627 to 1944 of the family's 2925-position model. Lineage: Bacteria; Bacillati; Bacillota; Clostridia; Peptostreptococcales; Peptostreptococcaceae. The record is from RNAcentral.
CGAGGUUAAAGGUACCCGUACCGCAAACCGACACAGGUGGGUGAGGAGAGUAUCCUAAGGCCAGCGAGAGAACUGUUGUUAAGGAACUCGGCAAAAUGACCCCGUAACUUAGGGAUAAGGGGUGCCACCAUCAGGUGGCCGCAGAGAAUAGGCCCAAGCGACUGUUUACCAAAAACAUAGGUUUCUGCUAAGUCGCAAGACGAUGUAUAGGAGCUGACGCCUGCCCGGUGCUGGAAGGUUAAGGGGAUCUGUUAGAGCAAUCGAAGCAGUGAACUUAAGCCCCAGUAAACGGCGGCCGUAACUAUA